This 659-nucleotide ribosomal RNA is filed under the name uncultured Chloroflexota bacterium. RNAcentral's name for it is "bacterial SSU rRNA". It matches the Rfam family "Bacterial small subunit ribosomal RNA", at positions 28 to 707 of the family's 1533-position model. Lineage: Bacteria; Bacillati; Chloroflexota. The record is from RNAcentral.
GAUGAACGCUGGCGGCGUGCCUAACACAUGCAAGUCGAACGUUAUUCCAAUUUCGGUUGGGAGAAAGUGGCGAACGGGUGAGUAACACGUUGGUGACCUGCCCCGAAGCGGGGGACAACUCCUCGAAAGAGGCGCUAAUACCCCAGAUGUUUAAGCUGUUAGCGGGCUUAAACUAAAGUUGCAAAACGCUUUGGGAGGGGCCUGCGGGCUAUCAGCUAGUUGGUGAGGUAAUGGCUCACCAAGGCGAAGACGGCUAGGGGGCGUGAGAGCGUGACCCCCCACAAGGGAACUGAGAAACGGUCCCUACUCCUACGGGAGGCAGCAGUGAGGAAUAUUGAGCAAUGGGCGCAAGCCUGACUCAGCAACGCCGCGUGGAUGAUGAAGGCCUUCGGGUUGUAAAAUCCUUUUCUGGGGGAAGAUAAUGACGGUACCCCAGGAAUAAGUUCCGGCUAACUACGUGCCAGCAGCCGCGGUAAAACGUAGGGGACAAGCGUUAUCCGGAUUUACUGGGCGUAAAGCGCAUGUAGGUGGCUUAUCAAGUUGGACGUGAAAGCUCCCGGCUUAACUGGGAGAGGUCGUACAAAACUGAUAAGCUAGAGGAUGGAAGAGGAGAGCGGAAUUCCCGGUGUAGUGUGGAAUGCGUAGAUAUCGGGAGGAAC